This 253-nucleotide ribosomal RNA is filed under the name uncultured bacterium. RNAcentral describes it as "partial 16S ribosomal RNA". It matches the Rfam family "Bacterial small subunit ribosomal RNA", at positions 524 to 776 of the family's 1533-position model. The record is from RNAcentral.
UACAGAGGGUGCGAGCGUUAAUCGGAAUUACUGGGCGUAAAGCGUGCGUAGACGGUUAUCUAAGUCGGAUGUGAAAGCCCCGGGCUCAACCUGGGAAUUGCAUUCGAGACUGAAUAGCUAGGGUGCGGUAGAGGGAAGCGGAAUUUCCGGUGUAGCGGUGAAAUGCGUAGAUAUCGGAAGGAACAUCAGUGGCGAAAGCGGCUUCCUGGACCCGCACCGACGUUCAGGCACGAAAGCGUGGGGAGCAAACAGG